This 547-nucleotide ribosomal RNA is filed under the name uncultured bacterium. Its description in RNAcentral is "bacterial LSU rRNA". It matches the Rfam family "Bacterial large subunit ribosomal RNA", at positions 437 to 964 of the family's 2925-position model. The record is from RNAcentral.
CAGGAAUCUGCCGGAACCAUCCGGUAAGGCUAAAUACUCUUAAGUGACCGAUAGUGUACAAGUACUGUGAAGGAAAGGUGAAAAGUACUCCUAACAGGAGGGUGAAAUAGAACCUGAAACUGUAUGCCUACAAACGGUAGUAGUCUGAAAUGGAGCUUGCUCCAAAUUGGAUGACUGCGUGCCUUUUGCUUAAUGAUCCUACGAGUUACUCGUAUGUAGCCGGAUAAGGUUUUAAGAACCGGAUCCCCAGCGAAAGCAAGUCCGAAUAGGGCGACAAAUGGUUACAUGCGGUAGACGCGAAACUGUGUGAUCUACCCUUGGUCAGAAUGAAGUAUCGGUAAAACGAUAUGGAGGUUCGAACUGGUGUGGGUUGAAAACCGCUCGGAUGAACUGAGGGUAGGAGCGAAAGACCAAUCAAACUCAGAAAUAGCUCGUACUCCCCGAAAUAGCUUUAGGGCUAGCCUCGAUUAAUUGUAUGCCGGAGGUAAAGCACUAAUUGGGCUAGGGCCGUCACAACGGUACCAAACCCAAAUAAACUCUGAAUACC